Molecule: non-coding RNA, 135 nt
Organism: Triticum aestivum (bread wheat)
Lineage: Eukaryota; Viridiplantae; Streptophyta; Magnoliopsida; Poales; Poaceae
Source: Rfam
CUUAUACUCCCUCCGUCCCAAAUUUCUUGUCUUAGAUUUGUCUAAAUACGGAUGUAUCAAGUCACGUUUUAGUAUUAAAUACAUCCAUAUCUAGAGUAAUCUAAGAAAAAAAAAUUGGGACAGAGGGGGUACUUG